GCCAGACUCCUACGGGAGGCAGCAGUGAGGAAUAUUGGUCAAUGGCCGGGAGGCUGAACCAGCCAAGUCGCGUGAGGGAAGACGGCCCUACGGGUUGUAAACCUCUUUUGUCAGGGAGCAAGGUGCAGGUCGGGACCUGCUGUGAGAGUACCUGAAGAAAAAGCAUCGGCUAACUCCGUGCCAGCAGCCGCGGUAAUACGGAGGAUGCGAGCGUUAUCCGGAUUUAUUGGGUUUAAAGGGUGCGCAGGCGGAGGUGCAAGUCAGCGGUCAAAUUGCGGGGCUCAACCCCGUACUGCCGUUGAAACUGCAUCCCUUGAGUGCGCGAGAAGUAUGCGGAAUGCGUGGUGUAGCGGUGAAAUGCAUAGAUAUCACGCAGAACUCCGAUUGCGAAGGCAGCAUACCGGCGCGCAACUGACGCUCAUGCACGAAAGCGUGGGUAUCGAACAGGAUUAGAUACCCCCGUACG
Molecule: ribosomal RNA, 466 nt
Filed under: uncultured bacterium
Lineage: Bacteria
Description: bacterial SSU rRNA
Rfam family: Bacterial small subunit ribosomal RNA
Source: RNAcentral